RNAcentral lists this microRNA (22 nucleotides) under Sarcophilus harrisii (Tasmanian devil). RNAcentral describes it as "Sha-Novel-21_3p (mature (guide))". Lineage: Eukaryota; Metazoa; Chordata; Mammalia; Dasyuromorphia; Dasyuridae. The record is from RNAcentral.
AAGGAUAGUUGUAGGCAAGGGA